AAGCAUACAUUAUUCCAACCUUUCUAGAAUUCCUCCCAAAGAAAUAUACUACAAUGUAAUAGGAUACAAAUACAAAAUAGUAUUACAUGCAUUAAAAACUAUUAAAAAAUUGGGCCAAAACAGCAUAUAACAAUCAACAAGCACACCUCAUCAUUGCUUGAUUUUUUCUUCUUAUAACAUCCAAAUACAAAUUUAAGUAUUUUCAUCAAUAAUAAAAUCUUCAUAUUAGACUAUAUUACAAAUUGAGUCUCUAGCAAGCAUCCUCUACUAAAACAAUGAAUCAUUUAUCUUAAGAUCUCUAUUAUUCCUUUGCAUUAGU
RNAcentral lists this long non-coding RNA (319 nucleotides) under Physcomitrium patens. RNAcentral's name for it is "long non-coding RNA (PPAT_LNC007836)". The record is from RNAcentral. Lineage: Eukaryota; Viridiplantae; Streptophyta; Bryopsida; Funariales; Funariaceae.